AACGAACGCUGGCGGCAUGCCUAACACAUGCAAGUCGAACGAGACCUUCGGGUCUAGUGGCGCACGGGUGCGUAACGCGUGGGAACCUGCCCUUAGGUUCGGAAUAACUCCCCGAAAGGGGUGCUAAUACCGGAUAAUGUCUUCGGACCAAAGAUUUAUCGCCUUUGGAUGGGCCCGCGUUGGAUUCGCUAGUUGGUAGGGUAAAAGCCUACCAAGGCGACGAUCCAUAGCUGGUCUGAGAGGAUGAUCAGCCACACUGGGACUGAGACACGGCCCAGACUCCUACGGGAGGGAGCAGUGGGGAAUAUUAGACGAGGGGCGAAAGCCUGAUCCAGCAAUGCCGCGUGAGAGAUGAAGGCCUUAGGGUUGUAAAGCUCUUUUACCCGGGAUGAUAAUGACAGUACCGGGAGAAUAAGCUCCGGCUAACUCCGUG
This 433-nucleotide ribosomal RNA is filed under the name uncultured bacterium. Its description in RNAcentral is "partial 16S ribosomal RNA". It matches the Rfam family "Bacterial small subunit ribosomal RNA", at positions 29 to 507 of the family's 1533-position model. The record is from RNAcentral.